UCCGGCUCCAGGCCCUUGAAGAUGGCGAGUCUCUCCGAGAAGCUUUUGGCUUGUGGGAAGAGGAUGUAGUUGUAGAUGAUGGAGGCGGCUGCCGCCCCGACCAGGGGGCCCACCCAGAAGACCUGGGGAAAAGGGAAUUGGGUGAGCAAAAGCCAGCGUGAGUUUGGAGGAUGGAGAGGAACCGGGGCCCCUGAGCAGCAUGGCAAGGAGUUUAUUCUGUGUGUGCUGGGAGCAAAAUGCAGCAGCUCUGCUUUGGCCAUCGCUGCUGACCUGAACUCCCAUCUGAACAUACCGAACCAUCCCCUUCUGACCUUUCUCCUCUGAGAGCUGCCUGACCUUCAUUAAUGACGGGCCCAUCACAAGCAUGCUUAAUUAUUUGGGUUCCCCUGAAGAAGCAUCUUCCAACCUGUUUACACGGUGCUAAGGGGACGAGGAGGGUACCAGCUCGGGCUGGGUCCCUCUGAGCACAUCAGCCUGAGCCCCCACAGCUCUAGCUCCCAACGUGCUCUUUGGAGAUGGAGAUGCCUGGGAGAGUGUCCUGGGUGCAAAACAUGUACCCAGGUCCAGCUGGAGCCAGGAAGGUGCCCCGGACCGGCACGAAGAGCUCCACACACCGUCGGUUUUGCUUCUUUUGCUAAGUCAUGACCAACAACCCACACGCCCUUCUCCUGUUGCAACGCGGCCCGCUCAGAUAAGCCAUCUCAGCGGCCCCGCCUGGUUCUGCUAAUCUCGACAUCGCUCCCUCAGCUGGGAGCUGCUGUGGAAAUGCCAGGAAUCUGGUUGGCUCUGGGGAUUUCUAGGAACACUGGUAACUGAGGGGGUUCAUCCCACCAAAACCAACGCAUAGACCUGACGUCUUACCCAGUGGUCACUGAAGUCUCCGACUAUCACAGCAGGGGCGAAAGACCUGGCCGGAUUCAUGGAGCAGCCGGUGUAACGGAUCUGCCGAGAAACACCACUUUAUUGUUAGCAUUAAGCCCUUUUAGCACAUUUUAACGAAUCCUGGUGUGUUAUUAGCGUGAUUCAUGCACCCGGCCAAUGUUUCGCCCUCCAGCGUUGCCCAUUCCAGGAAGAUGGAUGCCGGCAGCCUCCAGCACCUGAGUCAAGGAAAGCCAUGGGCACCCUGAGUUACACCCCCCCGUCCACCCCGAAGCAGCCAGCCAAGCAAACUUUGGGCACAAAGGCAAAAAAGCCCCAGAAAGCGCUGGUUUGGCCCAUUCUACCCACCCCAAGGAGAUGCCCCACGGCAACAGAAAGGCCGAUGGAGAGGGCAGGGGAGCCCAGGUUGUCCUCCCGGCGCUCGUCGGUGGAAGCGAAGAUGCACAGGACCAGCUGGAAGGUGAGGAAGAGCUCGACCGUCACCGCCUGCCCUGUCGUCGUCUCGUUGUGCAGCUGGAACGGGGGAAAAAACGUGUCUUGUGGACGGAGAGGGUUGGGGACGGGUUUGGAAAUGUGGAGGGGACACCCAGAGACCUGGGUCUUGCUGAUAUUCCCCUAUUUCUUUUAAUUAUUUUAAGGGUAAUUUGUGCAGGCAGCAACACGAUGAACAGCCCAUAGGGGAAAAAAUAUUAAAAUCCUUAUUCCCUCUUUUAAGUGGUUUAAGCUGUAAAACAACAGAGCUGGGUGUUUUGAAAGUCUCUCUUAAAACUCCUACUUGCUUUGUUGGGUUUAUUAAACCCCAGCUAUUAUCGGUCUAAA
This is a long non-coding RNA of Columba livia (rock pigeon), 1698 nucleotides long. RefSeq lists it as uncharacterized. Lineage: Eukaryota; Metazoa; Chordata; Aves; Columbiformes; Columbidae. The record is from RefSeq and is a predicted model, not a curated record. The transcript has 2 exons.